AACGAACGCUGGCGGCGUGUUUAAGACAUGCAAGUCGCACGGGAUAAGACAUGUAGUAAUACUUGUUUUAUUCAGUGGCGCACGGGUGAGUAACACGUGAAUUACAUGCCCUAUAGUGGGGAAUAGCCCAGGGAAACUUGGAUUAAUACCCCAUGGUAUCGAAAGAUUAAAGGUAGCCGCAAGGCUGUCGCUAUAGGAUUGGUUCGCGCCCUAUCAGCUUGUUGGUGAGGUAACGGCUCACCAAGGCAAUGACGGGUACCUGGUCUGAGAGGACGAUCAGGCACACUGGAACUGAGACACGGUCCAGACAACUACGGGUGGCAGCAGUCGAGAAUAAUUCACAAGGGGGGCAACCCUGAUGGUGCAACGCCGCGUGGAGGAUGACGGUCUUCGGAUUGUAAACUCCUGUCAUCUGGGAGAAAGACUUGACGGUAAAUAGCCGGCAGGGUUGAUAGUACCAGGAGAGGAAGGGACGGCUAACUUCGUGCCAGCCGCCGCGGUAA
Molecule: ribosomal RNA, 503 nt
Filed under: uncultured bacterium
Lineage: Bacteria
Description: partial 16S ribosomal RNA
Rfam family: Bacterial small subunit ribosomal RNA
Source: RNAcentral